Molecule: ribosomal RNA, 461 nt
Filed under: uncultured bacterium
Lineage: Bacteria
Description: bacterial SSU rRNA
Rfam family: Bacterial small subunit ribosomal RNA
Source: RNAcentral
UACGGGAGGCAGCAGUGGGGAAUAUUGCACAAUGGGCGCAAGCCUGAUGCAGCCAUGCCGCGUGUAUGAAGAAGGCCUUCGGGUUGUAAAGUACUUUCAGCAGUGAGGAAGGUGGGUAUGUUAAUAGCAUAUUCAUUUGACGUUAGCUGCAGAAGAAGCACCGGCUAACUCCGUGCCAGCAGCCGCGGUAAUACGGAGGGUGCGAGCGUUAAUCGGAAUUACUGGGCGUAAAGCGCAUGCAGGUGGUUUGUUAAGUCAGAUGUGAAAGCCCGGGGCUCAACCUCGGAAUUGCAUUUGAAACUGGACAAACUAGAGUACUGUAGAGGGGGUAGAAUUUCAGGUGUAGCGGUGAAAUGCGUAGAGAUCUGAAGGAAUACCGGUGGCGAAGGCGGCCCCCUGGACAGAUACUGACACUCAGAUGCGAAAGCGUGGGGAGCAAACAGGAUUAGAUACCCUGGUAG